AGAGUUUGAUCCUGGCUCAGAGUGAACGCUGGCGGCAGGCCUAACACAUGCAAGUCGAACGGCAGCGGGCAGUAGCAAUACUGUGCCGGCGAGUGGCGGACGGGUGAGGAAUACAUCGGAAUCUACCUUGUCGUGGGGGAUAACGUAGGGAAACUUACGCUAAUACCGCAUACGACCCACGGGUGAAAGCGGCGGACCGCAAGGCGUCGCGCGAUUGGAUGAGCCGAUGUCCGAUUAGCUAGUUGGCGGGGUAAAGGCCCACCAAGGCGACGAUCGGUAGCUGGUCUGAGAGGAUGAUCAGCCACACUGGAACUGAGACACGGUCCAGACUCCUACGGGAGGCAGCAGUGGGGAAUAUUGGACAAUGGGCGCAAGCCUGAUCCAGCCAUGCCGCGUGUGUGAAGAAGGCCUUCGGGUUGUAAAGCACUUUUGUUGGGGAAGAAAAGACACCGGUUAAUACCCGGGGUUUCUGACGGUACCCAAAGAAUAAGCACCGGCUAACUUCGUGCCAGCAGCCGCGGUAAUACGAAGGGUGCAAGCGUUACUCGGAAUUACUGGGCGUAAAGCGUGCGUAGGUGGUUCGUUAAGUCAGAUGUGAAAGCCCCGGGCUCAACCUGGGAAUUGCAUUUGAUACUGGCGGGCUAGAGUGCGGUAGAGGAGAGU
This 663-nucleotide ribosomal RNA is filed under the name uncultured bacterium. RNAcentral's name for it is "bacterial SSU rRNA". It matches the Rfam family "Bacterial small subunit ribosomal RNA", at positions 8 to 662 of the family's 1533-position model. The record is from RNAcentral.